AUUGAGCACUUAAUGUGUUUGCAUGUCUGCUAUUUAAUCUCCAUGUGAAAGUUAAAAGAUUUUUUUUUUAAACACCAUUCUUUCUCCCAUAUAAAGUGGGCUCUCAGAAGCACAAGCAGAGAUACUUACCUAUGGAAGACAUUUUUUUACUGUAAUCGUGCAUUGGAUUGCAAAUGCCAGUUGAGUCAGAUGUUAGAAAUUUACUAGAUGUAUGAUGUUCCAUAGUAGAAUAAGACUCUUUUAUCAUUUUGUUCUUUCUAAAAAUAAGAAAAAAGAAAGCUAAGUAUGAUAGCAAACUGUCUUUGCUUAUGUCCUGCCAGAUGUGUAACCUCAAAAUAAAAGUAGAUGAUCAACAAUAAGAUGAUGAUGAUGAUAAUGAAUAAACAAAGUGCU
RNAcentral lists this long non-coding RNA (393 nucleotides) under Bos taurus (domestic cattle). RNAcentral describes it as "long non-coding RNA NONBTAT022481". The record is from RNAcentral. Lineage: Eukaryota; Metazoa; Chordata; Mammalia; Artiodactyla; Bovidae.